Molecule: long non-coding RNA, 908 nt
Organism: Cicer arietinum (chickpea)
Lineage: Eukaryota; Viridiplantae; Streptophyta; Magnoliopsida; Fabales; Fabaceae
Source: RefSeq, a predicted model, not a curated record
AAAACAUUACAAAUAAAGGCUCCCCCUGAGAUAGGUUCGAGCAGUACCAAUUAAACAUAUCCUUCCUUGGGUUUCAAGUUUGUGGUUGCUUCAUCAGUGGGACCGAUAUAGAGAUUCAUGGUGUAUUUUAUACCAGAUCCAAGAGUUCUAACUAUAGGCAGACAUAAAUAGCAAGAGCUCGUUACAAAAAGGAUUUAUGAAAGGAGUUCUAAUUCAACAAAAUUGGAUUUGAUGAUGAUCGGUGUAUUGUUGUGAACUGGAGUUGAAGGAUGAAAGACUACGAACACAAAUUCAUCAAAGGAGUUACUGGUCAGUAUUCUUUAUAAUCAAUUCUAAUUUUCUAUAUAACAUUCUUUAUAUGAAUGAGUUGUUACAUAAAUAUAUACCGUAAGUUUUAGUAAAAUGGUCUUAAUUUAAAUCAGUCUUUAUUAUACGCUAUUAGCCUAUUAUCAAGUUGACUUUCGAAAUAUUAUGAGUUACUCGCAUAAUAAUAUAUGCAUUUUGGCUUUCAUCAAACCAAACUGUCACCAAACUACAUACUCUCCCUCUUGAUUUGUAAUUUCUGAGCAUGAAAUUGUGAACUGCCACCUACCUUUGGUUUGUGACUUUUAUUCAAUAUUUGUUGAAAGAAUGGGGAAAGCAUAUGUUCAGGUGUUGUCUGUCCAGGUAAAUAACUAUUGUCAUGUUAUAUUUUGUUCUAAUUAAUGAUGUGGACGAUGAUAGGGAUGUUGCUUGCAUUUUAUAUACUAAAUAAUGGCUGAAACAUUCCCUAUGCACCUUAUGCUAUGAAGCAUGGGGUACUUCUAAAAUGGUGAAGUACCCGUACUGAGUGCUUACUUGGUACUCGUACCGUAUUGUGGAUUUUUUUUCUUUAUUAUUUUAUUUUGAGUGAAAUUGAUAAUUUUUUA